AUUGAACGCUGGCGGCAGGCCUAACACAUGCAAGUCGAACGGUAACAGGAAGCAGCUUGCUGCUUUGCUGACGAGUGGCGGACGGGUGAGUAAUGUCUGGGAAACUGCCUGAUGGAGGGGGAUAACUACUGGAAACGGUAGCUAAUACCGCAUAACGUCGCAAGACCAAAGAGGGGGACCUUCGGGCCUCUUGCCAUCGGAUGUGCCCAGAUGGGAUUAGCUAGUAGGUGGGGUAACGGCUCACCUAGGCGACGAUCCCUAGCUGGUCUGAGAGGAUGACCAGCCACACUGGAACUGAGACACGGUCCAGACUCCUACGGGAGGCAGCAGUGGGGAAUAUUGCACAAUGGGCGCAAGCCUGAUGCAGCCAUGCCGCGUGUAUGAAGAAGGCCUUCGGGUUGUAAAGUACCUUCAGCGGGGAGGAAGGGAGUAAAGUUAAUACCUUUGCUCAUUGACGUUACCCGCAGAAGAAGCACCGGCUAACUCCGUG
RNAcentral lists this ribosomal RNA (490 nucleotides) under uncultured bacterium. RNAcentral describes it as "partial 16S ribosomal RNA". It matches the Rfam family "Bacterial small subunit ribosomal RNA", at positions 30 to 507 of the family's 1533-position model. The record is from RNAcentral.